Athalia rosae (coleseed sawfly) is the source of this 2219-nucleotide long non-coding RNA. RefSeq lists it as uncharacterized. The transcript is spliced from 2 exons. The record is from RefSeq and is a predicted model, not a curated record. Lineage: Eukaryota; Metazoa; Arthropoda; Insecta; Hymenoptera; Athaliidae.
AACCGUCUGCAGCGGGGCAGCGUUACGUCCAAGAGGAAUGGAGCUUGUCUCCUCGGUUGGCGCAUAUAUUAAUGGGGGAAAAACAUAAUCGCCACAUCGCGGUGCGGAAAGGGAGCGGCGGCACAUCAUCAUCGGCACACCGGAGAGCCGGAGAGAAUAUCUCGUCUCGUCUCGUCUCGUCUUCGGGGCAGUUUCGAGGCUCGACGUCGGUCGUAGUUUACUCGUCGAGGCGACAAUGGUCUUCGGGGUACGGAGAGGAGGCGAUUCCGGUCGGUCUUUCUCCCUCCCCCCCCGUAAUUUUCCCCCCGGGGCUGUCGUAUUCGCAUUCGUCUACGUCUUGCUUGCGAUAAAGUGCGUGGUGGUGACCCUCGCGUGCGCGAAACGAUCGCCGUUCUACAAACGCGGAAUCAGAUGUUAUCGGGGUCAAAAAUUUCGGGGGCUCCUGCUGCUGCUGCUGCUGCUGGCAUACGGAAACGCGAUACAACGUCGAGUGUGACACGUGAUAAAAAGAAAAAAAAAUCAAAUAAAUAAAAAUAAAAGAAAUUUUGUACGAACGAACGUAACGGAGUAAAAUAAAAUCGAAUCGUGUGGUUAUCACCGUGGUAUUACGUGUUGCGCGUAAUUUUGCAUUAUCGUUUGCACUCGAACGCAACGUGUACAACAAUUUCCGUGCUAUAUGAGAAAAGUUCAACCCUUCUACUGUACCAAUACGUGGAUACGGCGUAACUGAUGUGCGUGUGUAUGAGAUAGAGAAAAAAAUUUUCAACGAUUUUAUUUCUUCGAAAUUAAAGUGACAUUGUGACGAUCGGUACGAUCAACGAUGGACUUCGGAAUGGUCCGUUUCUUCCGCUUCACCACCGCGGAUUUCGGGUUCGCGGUGAAAAAAAAAUUUUCGGCGUAACCGAACGAGGCGGACAACCGUAGGGAUGAUUGUACGAGUGACUCGAUCUCGAUUUCGAACCAUACGAUAUGUGUGUGGUACCGCUACCGGAGCGCACAGCGUCGAUACACAACUAGCGGUACAACGUAAGUUGCGUUGACUGCGAAGCGAUCGAGACCUUGGCGGAUGUUUUGAUUACGUAGUUUUACAUCGAUCUUUACGUACACAACGCGGCGAAGCUCGACUAUCGGCGAGAGGAAAGCGGUUCCUCCGCGGUACGCGGGGAAGGUGGUUGUGCAGGAGGAUAGAGCCGCCUCUCGGUUACGCCCACCUCCGCGAGGGACUCGAACGAGGCCGCAUUACGUUAUACGUACGUACGUACGUACGUACACGUUCGCCUUUCGCGCUGGACGUACGUAAGUACGAGUCGAGAGAAAAAAAAAAAAGGAAAAAAACGAGAAAACCGAAAAGAAAAAGAACGAAGAAAAAAAAGAAAAAGAAAAAAGAAAAAAACAGCCCGCAGGCGUGUACGAGCACCGAGCCGAUCCGAGGCAAAGGUUUAAGUGAGGGGAAGGUAGGAGGCAAGGCGAGGAGGGUACCCCACACGGGGAUAGAGCCGCCGCCGCCGCCGAAGACGAGGUCGCUCGACGAGCGACUUACACCGAGAGCUGCGUGAAGCCCCCGUGUGCCGUGCCCGUGUUCGUGCGUGCAUGGUCGUUUAAUGGACCCAGCUAAUGACUAUUGGCCGCCGUCCUGGGCGGGACUCGCCUUGUGCACAACGAGCACGAACUCACAAACUUUCGACCGUAUAUAUAUAACACACUCGACCGUAUACGGUUGUGUGAGCUGCAACUGGAACGAGACCUGCAGGUGAUGAGUCUCUGCUGGAGGAAGAUCGGCCCCCGGAGCACGUGAAACCUGCGCUCCGAAGCAAUCAGUUUGGGCCAAUCUCGAGACUGCUAAUCACGGAACGUUAUAAUUGCCCCGCGUAUAUAACCACAUAGGCCGAAACUCGAACGUUGAUUUUUUAUUUUCUCUAUUUUGUGCUCUCUCUCUCUCUCUCUCUCUCUCUCUCUCUCGAAGAUCGGUCUCUGUAUGGAACGUUUGAGAUAAUAUUAUAAUCGGAGACAAUUAAAGCGUCCUGACUAAAAGAAAGAAAAAAAAAAAAAGAAAAAAAGAAAUGUAAAACGAAAAAGAUGAGAAAAAGAAAACCGGAUAGGAAUAUCUAUUGUUAGAAUCGAUUUAUAAAUGUGUUUGUAGGUAUAAAUCAGGAAGAGAUUACAGGAGAAAGAAGAAACUAUAUAAUACGAGUAUAUAUUAAAAAUGGCUGGUAUACAUA